UACGUACUCCCUUCGUCCGGAAAUACUUAUCAUAGAAAUGGAUAUAAAUGGAUGUAUCUAAAAUAAAAAUACAUCUAGAUACGUACAUUCCUCCGACAAAUAUUUCCGGGCGGAGGGAGUACUAC
Triticum aestivum (bread wheat) is the source of this 125-nucleotide non-coding RNA. NCBI's taxonomy places the organism in Eukaryota, Viridiplantae, Streptophyta, Magnoliopsida, Poales, Poaceae. The record is from Rfam.